RNAcentral lists this long non-coding RNA (10987 nucleotides) under Coffea arabica (coffee). RNAcentral's name for it is "long non-coding RNA (CARA_LNC002738)". Lineage: Eukaryota; Viridiplantae; Streptophyta; Magnoliopsida; Gentianales; Rubiaceae. The record is from RNAcentral.
UUUUUUUUUUUUUUUUUUUGUCGCCUAGCAGCGAAGAAUUAUACGGCUGUAGAAACUUGCACCAUUUCAAUCAUCAAUAUCUUGGGAAAAUUUGAAAAAAGAAAACAAGGCGAUUAAAAAUUCAUAAGUAGGAUAUAACUAUUAAAAAUUUUUAAAAUGCAUAAUUCAGUAUACAUACGUGCACAUAUAUGGUUUUGAAUAUGCAUAUUCAUAUAUAUAUAUAUAUAUAUAUAUAUAUGCGCACGCGUGCACGUAUGUUCAUCAAAAUGCAUAUUUUUAUUUAUUAAGCUGAGUAACUGUAUAGCAGUGUUAUUGAACAAGGUACACAUUAUUAUGAGGCUGAUCCAGUCAUUUAAUGGUAAAUUUAUUACCUAUUUAAAUGUGCGAAUAAUAGCCCAUUCCCAUUCACACAUUAUCUAUCAAAAGACAAGUUACGCUCUUCUUAUGACUAUUUCAUUUUCCUAUUCCCAAUUUUCAAAAAUUUCCCGUUGUGUUUCAAUUACAGUUCAAGACGCGUCACUCUGAAUCUCUCAUACGAAUUACUGAGUCUAUUAUGUCUGAUAUGAUAUAAUCAUCAGUCAUCACUCGGUUUUCUUGGUUAGCACGUCUUUGAUUCUUUACAGAAUUAUUCGCCGCAAAUGAAGUAUAUAUUCAAACGAAUAUUAGACUAAGAUUGAUUGAUGGUUCUUCAUGUUGUCACAUUAACGCUCCAUAGCUUCAAAUUUCAAGCAUCAUUAUUAUUAAGUUGGUAUGUUCUUCACCAGCAACAGCAAGCUUAUCUGUUAUUGGUGUUUUAAGAUGACAUCUCACUGGAAGUCAAAAUAUAACUAUCAAGCAGUAAAGAAAUUGUGUGUUUUUUUUUUGUUCAAAACAAAAAGUCAAUGGUUGGAAAGGAUCAGCUCAGUGUGUUAUUUGAACACUUCAAACGAGAUUCGGGUUGAACUGGAUCGAUUUUCUAAUUUAUCUAAUUUUGACAUGGUUCAGCACUACUUUUCCACGCUCCACAUUCAAGUGGAGAGGUGAAAAAAGAACGGCAAGGUUAGGAGAGACAACGAAAAAGAGCACCGGGGAGUUGAAACUUUUAAGUAAAAUUAUACAAACAUUAAUACAUAAUGGCACUCAGUUAAGAGGCCAACGGUCUUCCAUUCUUAAUUACUACUAUUUGAUUGAGCGCAUUUUCUUUCGUGGGAUUAAUUACUUGAGGUAUGACAGGUUUUUUAGUUCAUUUUAUUCCUUUACUUCAAUUUUGGAUAUUUUAAUUAUUCUCUAAAGUAUGAAAUCCGUCCUGUUUUAAUUCUUGAACUUUGAGCAUCGUUUACUUAUCAUUCUGUUAGUCUUGACAAUUUUAUGAGAUUGGUUUCAUACUUUAAGGAAUAAAAUAUUCAAGUGAAGUUUACGAACUAAACUGUGAUAGAUUCCAUAUGUAACCUACAAGUACAAAGACCAAAGUGAGAGACUGCAUCUUUAUUAUUAGUUUAAGCAGCCAAAGUAGAAUUUGCCCAAAUUUCUGACCUAAGUUGUUGACAUAGUAGUGUGUUUUGAUCUGCACGCUUUGAUCACAUAAAACAAGUUUUAGCCCAAAAGAUAGACCGUCAAUAAUUGCAAUUCGAAAAAUUUAAACCCGUAAAGACAAAUAAUUUAUGUUAGUCCACCAUGAAGGAGUGGUUUGCAGAAGUGCUUGUGUUGGACCAUUGGUUGGAUAAUUCAAUUCCAGGGCUUAACAUGUUAUUUCAUGGCCAUUUGGCUAGGUGAAUUGUUAUAUAUAAGAUAAGAUGAACUAUAUAUAUAUGAUAUAUAUAUGAGCCAUUGAACACGAUCCUCACUUAACCCAUGUUUAAAAAUUCAAUUCAUUACUUAAAUUUAAUGAAUUCAGACCUUAACAUAUUCAUACGCGUUUAAUAACAAAAAAUUGAACAUCAUUAAGUGACGCUGAAUUUUCUAGAUAAAAUUUGCUCCUAAAAUUAAGUGAUAAAUUAUUUACUUAUCACUAAAUAUAAUAUAAACUUAAAUAUAUUAGAUUUAAUACUUAAUAAUUUAAUAAUUUAAUGAAUUCAGACUUCAAGAUUUCAGAUUUCAGACUUCAAUUUUAUCAAAGGCACCUUGACUUUGGAGGCAGACACAAUUCAAACAUACCUAUUGCUUUUGUUCUAGCAGAAAAUAGAAUGUAUAUUAUUCCAACCGAAUCCUCUAAACUUCACAUGCAUCAUGUAAUGAUGAUUUAUUUGCAUCAAAGUUUGGGAUUAACGUGAUGUCACAAUUAAUCAUUAGUUAGACCACGAUGUUGACUAUCCCCAUUAACGAAAUUCGUGAGGUAACAUGUGCAAUGUUCGCCGCGCCACAGGCCAAACCAAGGAAAAAAAAAAAAAAACACUCACAUACUUAAUUCCAAUCUUUUCAAACUCGAACGUGUUCACAAACCGAAUUCUUAAAGAUAUGUAACUUCGGACUUUUCUUCGUUCUUCUUAUUAUCACACCAAAUUUCUCCGUCGUGGUUAUCGUUCUGGAAAGCCUUUCAUUUUUCAAAGAAUGCGGAGUCUGCGGGAAAAAAAAAAGUCUCUUAUGUAGUGGAGGUGGUGAUGAUGAUUACGGGAAAUCAGAACCUUGUUUCCUAGGAUUGGUCCCAGGAACCUAAAUAAUGAAGUUGGGAAGCAUUAUCUUACGUACUAACGUAUAAUUGAGACUUUAACAACAGCUAUAAGUUAACAACGUAUCCGUCCAGUUGAUUAGCUGAGAGCUCUUAGAAUUCUCUCUAUUGUCAGUUUAGAAUUCGAAUUUUAGUUUUUUAAGUUUACAUUGGAAAUCUAUGUUUAAUAGUUGAGGUUAGGAAUCACUGAAAUUGGUCUAGUAAUUCGGAAAAAACUCUUCAGGAUUUGAAUUCUAGUUUUUAGGUUCAGAAUUCGAAACCUAAACUUAAUAGUUGAGAUUAGGAAGGGUGAGAGGUAAACAAACAGAAAAAAAAAAACGUAUCACUUGUCGUGGCCUGUUAGGACCCAAAGAUUGUGAUCAAAACAUUGCUACUUGACAGUAUACCAAAAUUUGAUUGUUGGCUAAAAGACAACGAGUAAAAAUUUUCUAAAAUAAAACCGAGAGACAAUUCAGAUAAUUUAUUUAGAUGAGUUGGAGUAGUUCAAUAUCAACAGGUUUUAAUUGUUGAAUUUUGCUAAAUGAGACGUUCUCUUUUUAUAUUUAAAAAAAAAAAAAAAAAAAAAGCUGGUUAUAACUGGCACAUGUUUGCAGAAAAAAAUAUGCUUUAUUGAUUCUUACCAAGUCAAUUGAAAUUGUUACAAUAAAAUGUGCUUUAGUUCCCAAAAUCCCGCAAACUAGUAAUUUCCCUGCUCGUGGAUGAAAAUCUUUGAUUGAAACUUGUAAAUAUGAAUAGUAGCCUGGAGAGGGAUAAAACUUAAAUAAGACAAUAACCACAAUAAUCAAAUGAAGCACAAAUAAAGCAGCCUAUCUCUCCCUCUCUCUCUCCAAAAUUAGCUCAAUUUGCCUAUAUAUCAUUGUUCAUAAUUCUUUUCUUUUUUUUUUGAUUAAAUCUUAUAUACACUGACAAUGUAUACACUAUUAUCAUUGGAUUUAUGACACGUGUGCCAAAGUUAAAUUUUAAAUUUAAAUUUUAUAUAGUUAUCGUUCAUCCAAUGCUGACGGUGUAUACACUGUCAGUGUAAGAAAAAUUAACCUUUUUUUUUAUACUUCCAAUCUUGAAUAUAACAAUUAUUUUAGAAAAAAAAAAGCUUACAUUGAAAGAACAGGUCUACAAUUCCUAUACAAAUUAUUUCUCCCAAUCUUAUUUUAUACACAUAAUGCAAAACAGACAACCCACAUGUGUUACGGGAUUUUUGGACUGUGUGCUUAAUGUCCAAAGCUCGAAAGGAAUCUCCAAAUGAUCACUGAAGUCUUUCUGUCUAAAUCUGUAUUCUACAUUUAAUCGUCCUCAUCUUGUAUGUUGCGUAAAGAAAAAUAUCACUCUGCCUAAAAAAUAUCUAAUCAUCCCUAUAAACGACAAAUUUGCUUUCCUGGGAUUAUUUCACGAUCAAAUCUGAGUGCAUCUUUCUUGCGAUUGCUUCAAUUGCAGAGAUCAUCCAUAUUCCACAAGCAAUAUCCCAGAUCAUCGUCACUCAGCCAAUUGUUUUGUGCACAGUAGUUAUCACCAGCUGGCCCUGUAGAGCCGCCCAUCGCUGUAACAGGUGCUGCUGAGCUCAAGUUUUCCAUAUCUUGAUAACUAGUGCUGUCAACAUUGUAACAUUCAUUUUGAGAAUGACCAUAGGAAUUGUUGGGAGCCAUGUCAUAAAAGGGAUUUUCUAUGUAUUCGGAAAAUUGAGGGACCGGAGAGAUAUUCGUGGAUUCUGAUGAAGACAUGCUUGAUGGGCUGCUGCUAAUCAUGUUUCUCUGAUGACUAUCCGGGAAACUGUAUGGUACCUGUUGCGGUUGUUUUGCUGCCAUUGAAUUGCUAACUGCUGCCUGAAUUUCAGCUAAAUUGUCAUGUUCUGAUGAGUCCCAAUAUGCAAUAUUUCCUUGUACCUUUUGAAGCAACCGAGGAAUCCAGACACGGCGAACUAGUUCUUGAAACUCACUGCUGUUGGAGUCUAUCUUCAGAUGGCGGGCCUGCUUUUGUACUCUUGUUCUCCAGUAGUUCUUGAUUUCAUUAUCUGUUCUUCCCGGAAGAUGUUGUGCAAUCUUUGACCACCUUCAUUAUCAUUUAUGAGAAACAAAUUAGCUUCAUCGGCGUCCAAAUUCAGUAUUAGGAAGCAAAUUGAAUUUGAAUCGUGCCCUUUUAAUUUUCUUCACAUCCGAGUACAACUUCAACUUCAGGAUCCAAAAUCAUAUGGGACUGGACAAGUACGAAUGCAGAAGGUGAAACAUGCAAUGGUAGGGAUGAGGAUGCAAAUUCGGGCCCAAAUCCGCGCAAAUUUCAUCUAAACAGACUUAAAAGUGUGCAUUUGAGCGCAAAAAGCCAAUUACCAAAUGAAUACCUGUUGCCCCACUUGGAAUGAAGCUCAAGAAUCAAGAGCUGUUCCUCUGGACUAAGAUUUCCUCGUUUAACAUCCGGUUUAAGAUAGUUGAGCCAUCUCAAUCUACAACUCUUGCCAGUUCUAUUCAAUCCUAUGUGUACACAACACGAAAUUUCAGCAAAACUGUACAGUUGAAACUUUGGAUGAAAAGAAACAUUGAUUUUGUGCUCAGCUUUCGUGGCAACGAACAUAUGUGCUUACCUGAACGUUUCGCUAGCAAGUUCCAUCGGCCUUCACCAUGAGCAGCAAUGUAAUGAACAAGAAGAGAAUCUUCUUCAACAGUCCAGGGACCUCUCCUGAGCUCACCACCUGCGGCAUCAUCAUCACUACAACUGCUUGUAGUUGUACUCUUAGACAGGGAACACAUGGCUGGCUUCUAUUUUGAGUAGGGUACCGAGAAUUUUGAGGAAUUUCAAGACAAACUGAUAAUUGGGCUUACGAGUCUAAGCUUUGAAGGCGAAGCACUGACGCAACAGCAGCAAAUCCAUGAUUUAUAAGGUACGAGGUCUUAGUACUCUAACCCACUGUUCACAUGUUACUUUUCAAAGGAAGUAGCCGCGAAAGCAGACUUUAUAAUGCACAGCUUCUUUUCUUUUCCCUAUUCUGUUUUUUUUUGGUCAAUGUAGCAUAGGAUUUCUAUUGGAAUUUUUACUCUCCUUUAGAAUUUCAACCAGUCAAAACAUAAGAAAUCACUGGAAUAUUGUACCUAUAACAUCGCCCACAAGCAGAAUUCCAGGUUAAUUUUUCUUUUAUUCUUCUACAUCGAGAAAAUUAAGGACUGAAAUAGAGGUGGCCAUGGUUUAGGUUUAAACCAAAAUCGGACCGAAAUUAGCUCGAAGGUUUGUUGAAUUAGGUUUUGGAAACCGAAACCGAAACCGAAAUCAUAACCAUGACUAAAGGUUCAAGUUUAGAUUCACUAAAAUUUUGAACCAGAACCGGCGGUUUAGAAUCUGUUCAAAUCGUCUAAAAAAAAUAUUUACUACUUAAACCUGUUUGUCUUGUUUAGAGUCCAAUAUCAAUAGUUAGCACCUAAUACCAGUAAUUAAAGUCCUAAUCUAAUAAUCUACUGUCCCAUUCUUUUAGUAAAUCUAUAAUCAAUGAUUAAUCUAAAUCUAAAACCAAUCUAAUCUAAUCAAUAAUGCGAUAUUUUUCAAAAAAUUUACACAUUUUUUCUUUUUCAUCGCACAUGAUAAUGCAAUAAACACACACACACAUAUAUAUAUAUAUAUAUAUAUAGGAGUUCAAAUAUCGCAACCGUAACCGUCCCUCUAUGGGCUAAUUCAAGUUCUACCUUUCUAAAGAAUCGAAACCCUUGGUUUUUAAAUUGGAACCAACGGUUUUGGAAUCGUGACCAUGUCUAGAUUGAAAUAUGAAAAUAGUUGUGCUUUUAGUAGAGAUCCACCAUAUGCCAAUAUAGAGUAGUACAAUUCCUUUUCUUUUUUUUUUUUUGCUUUUUAGUAUAAUUGAAAAGGUCUCGAACUCGAGAUUUUUCACUUACACUUCCUUCUUCCCAUACCACCUAACCCUUUCCUCCCCCUAAUAUAAUAUGUGUCUGUGUAUGUUUUUUUUUUUUUAAAUAAUGUGUUUUGAAUAUAAUUUUCAAACAUUUUUUUUAUUUUAAUUCUAGCAAAACUUUAUAUUUUACAAUAUGAAGAUACCUAAUAUUUUCCCCUAUGUAGUGAAGUUGAGAACUAAAGCUUUACAUGCACUUUUAAUGGAAUACAAUAAUCUUUUAGAGGCAAUUAAAAUCCCAGCAUGCCACCUUAAAGAAAAUCUCAAUAUGCCAUCCCCGUAAGUAACACAGAGUAUCAAUAUCAAGGAACAAAAGUAGGGUCGAUUAAGGUGGCCGGAUCAGGACUUUUACCUUGUAAAGUAAAUGAUCAAAAUAGCUUUUGGUCUUCUUCAAUAUGGUAAAGUCGAGCUCAAACCAUUUUCUUGAAAAGAAAAUAGGAGGAAUAGGGUGAUUUUGCGAAAUUGUUAAAUCAGCUUAGAUACCACGAGGCUUGGGGUUCCUUUUUAAUUACAUCAUAGGUCUACUAAAAAAUAAUUCUCUAGUCCUAAAGUUCCUACAUGGAAAAAAAGAUAAUACCCACCGUUAUCAAUGAAGAGCUAGAUCAUCAAAGAAAAGGCAGUUUUGACAAAGAAAUUGAAGGCAACACAGCAUUCUUGACAAUGACAAUUACAAAACCUUGAAUCGAUCAUUAGAAGGAAUUAGUUUUUAAAAACUUCGCGGUUUGUCAUUUCUAGUUUCUUCCAAUUAUAAAAAACGUACUUGACUAACCAAGAUGAAACCCUGAAUCAAAACCAAAACGUGGGUUAAUUUAUGUCCGUCUAACUGAUAGGGGCGGCAACCAUAUUUCUAGGCAUCUAGCUUUUGCUUGGAAUCUUAAAACACAGUUCCCUUUUCCAAUUGCAUGGCUGUCAUCUGAUUUUCUGUCAAUUUUGCUUAAGAGUUGUAGUUUUCUUUUUCAAGCAGAAGUGGUACGUUUUUUAAGUAUUUGGUACUUGACUUCUGGUUUCUCCAGAAUACAUCCAUUUUGGAAACACGCGAGGAGUAGGACAAUUGUAAGAGGCUGCUAAUGCUUAAUGCAGCUAAAUUUGACUUUUAUAAUCUACAUCUUGCCUCCAAUGCAUGUUUCGGGUUGAUGACUCCUUGAAUAUCAGGAAUCCCUUGGAUGCGAUGCUCAUGAAGGUUCUUGCAUUCUCUUAUUCUCUGCUGAUAUGCUCUUGCCAUAAUAAUAAUAAUAUGCAGCCUUCUUUUAAUGGAAGCCAAUUGUUUUAGUGACGGUAUUAUUUCUGCCGUAAAUGCAAUUACUACUAGUAUUUCACGUUGAGAGCCCGAGUACAGGUCACAUACUAUUCGCAGAAGGGCUGCAAUUCGUCAAGAUUCAGGGCAAAUAGAAUAUAAACAUCUGACGACAAUCCUAAAGGAAUAUAUAUAAAGAAUGAGCUGAUUCUAUGCUUCUAGAUGCCAUUCAAUGCUUCAUACAAAGCUACUAUAUCCAGCGCAGUACAACUUUGGAGUCUCCUGAUUCUAGUCAAGGUUAAGUGUAUAUAGCUUGGACGGCGUUAACUUACUAACUUAAAAACCAAAAAAAAAAAAAAAAAAAAAAACAAUUAGGAACAUGCUAGUGCAAAGCAAUCAAAUUCUCACGUUUUUUUCUAGAAAUUUUCAAUAAGAAAAAAAAAAAAAGAAUUCCUCAUGUUUCCUCGAUCUUACUUGAGAGUCAGCGAUUGGAAUUAUUCGUUUGGACUGAUGGAAGCGGGUCGUGGUUCUCUUCAUUGCAUUUCUAUUUUUAAUUUCGUACCACUUUUUACUUAUAAUUUAUUUUUGGUAAGACAACAUGCUCCCCCCCUUCACAACUCAGGAAGAAGAAUAAUUGGACUUUCGUAGCAGUUAGCACAACAUUCUUUUUUUGUUUUUUGUUUUUGCUUUUUUUAAUUGAGGAGGAGAACUUAUCAAUUAUCAUCAUCAUAGUGGUACUUGUGACUUCCACACCUAGCCAAAAAAAUUAUUUUUUAACUGUAAAUCAAAUUUAACAACUAGUUUGGCAGUCAAUAUUUGAUGAGAAAAGAAAAAAAAAGUGAGAGAAAUGGAACAUUUCAUCAUUUAGCCAGAUUUUUCAAGAUUAAAAAAAAAAAAAGGGCUUGAUUUGGACGAGUUGAUUUUAACAUUAUUAUAAUUUUAAAAGCUUUUUCCGCCCAUUUAUGGACUGAUUUGGACACAAAAUUGGAGAAAAUUUUUUCAAAUACUAAUAAUGCCUUCCUUAGAUGGCCACUAAACAAAAUUUCAAUAGUGUAUGAAACGUUUCCAAAUGUUGUCUUGUGAUUUUGGUUUGGUGUCGAAGUGCAACUCUGAUCUUCCAGAAGUUUGGACUCUUUUUUUCCUUCUUUAAUUGAUUUUCUACGUCAUUUGUAUCCCUUCUUUUUUUAUUCGCAUUUCUAAGUUAUUUUUCUCUCACCUUGUACGGUACAACUAAAUAUCUUUUUUUUUUUUUUGAUAAGGGUUAAAAUCGUAAUCUUAGCCGCUGGAAACAUUUACUUCAUACAUAGUAGAGAGACUCCGCCAAUCAUUUCAAACAAUCAUGAAAUAUGACUAGGAAUGUUGAAGAUUUGAUUAAUUAGUAGCUAGGAAGAAAGGAUGGCAUGGCAUGGAGUCUCAAGUCAGAAGUUGUACAAAGACCACAAGAAGACCACGCAAUCCAUGGAUGAAGAUUAGCAAUUUCUUUCUUUCUUUCUUUCUUUUCUUCUAACACCAAUGGGAUGAAGAUAAUGAAGUUUAAGGAUGAGAAUCAAGAUAAUCAAUCAUGCGCGAUCAAUGGCGCAAUCGUGAUUUGUAUUACUUGAGAACUAAAUGAAAUCAAUGACAAAAUACUGCACUGUUUCCUUAUAGUGACUGUGUCAUCACAAGAAAAAUAAGUUGUAUACGGCAAGAAUUUGUUAAUUCUGAGAUUAUCUUUGAUGCAGAUGGCCAAAUUCUGACAUCACAAGAAUGUGUCAUGAUAAUGACAAUAAUUGAACAAAAAAAAUUCCAUCCACUGCAAACACCUCAUUAAUGCAUUACUCGAAGGAAAGGGAACCCUACUGAUUAAGCUCCUGAGUCCUUUUGACGGAGAAAUUGACAUUGAUGUAAACCAUUAAUAAUGUUUUCCAAGAUAUUCAUCAAAUUUCCAUUUCUUUAUCCAACCCAUCCCUCAGAUGUCUCUCUCUUUAGGAUGCUACUGCAGAUGAGUACCUAUUGGAUUUACACUUGCUUCGUAAAUAGACUUGGGAUUAUUCUCUUUCAAAUUAGCCUUCCCAGUGAGACUCCAUCUUGAUCAGCUUAUUGGACGGGGUAUAUGACUAAAGUUGUAUGGGACGAGGUAUAAACUGGCAAUGCAGCAAGGGUUGUCUUUAGCAGCAAAUCUUGAUCAGCCAAAAUAGCAAAAUGUUUUCUUGCACCCUCUGGUUCUGUGCAUCCUCUCCUUAUCAAACAGUAAGCAUCACUCUGCAUCUACACUAAAGUUGAAUCUCUUUCUGCUAAAAAUUCAAGUUCAGAGUUAAGACAUCUACUUUUAUGCACCAUUGAACUUACUCUAAAGGGCUUUACUUGAUGUCUUGCUGGAAACUUAUUGUUCAACACAUUUAAAUCUGCAUUGCUGUCAAGACUUGUUUAAAUUCGUAAUUUGUCCUUCAUAUUAUGAUGCAGUUCUAGUCCCUACUGGACAAGACAUUUGUUACUAGCAUAGCUGAUGAUUCUUAUCUCGAAAUUUGCAUUGAUCUUUUUCAACUUCAAAAUGCCAACUACGGAAUGAAGUAAUGAUCCAUGCAUGGAACAUUAUAUGCUGUUUCUCAAUCUUUUUAAGAUAUCAGCGUGAAUGCAUAAGUUUCUUAAUUGAACAGACUAAAGUACGCAAGUGAGGUUCUUCUUUUCUCAUCUGUCAUCUACAUCUGCCAUUUAUGUUCUAAUUCAUGUGGAUUGAUUCAACAAGGUUGCAAAUUAAAACAUACAGGGAACUGCCUAGGAAAAAUAAGCAAGUGAACAUCUAUACGAAAUAUUUGAGAGCUUGAACAAGAGAAGCGAGGAACUGAUAUACCUGGCAUUAAAUGAAACUGCUAUACCAUACAUGAUGGAGAGAACUCAUACCGCCAAGGGCAAAACAGCUCAAUGGAGAACGGAGAUACCUUGUCAAGGCUCUAAGCGUGUUACACAUUUUAUUAUCACAAAAUAGUUGUCAUCAGCGGAAAAUGUGUACAGAACAUGGAUAUGCUUAUACUUACAAACUCAAAUUAUUAAGAAAAAGCCAGAACAACAAAGUCAUAGCAAUUUUGGCACCCAUGCCUGCUCCUGCAUUACUUAGCCAGUAACGAAUCAUCGAGCUGGGACCUUUAUCCAACCAUUAGCAAAAGCAAUGGCCAAGAUUACAAAGGGUGUCGACAUACCAAAUAUGAUAAUGUAAGGUAGAGGCGUCUUCAUGGGAUUCUCCCCUUCCCUU